Molecule: unclassified non-coding RNA, 340 nt
Filed under: Hevea brasiliensis (rubber tree)
Lineage: Eukaryota; Viridiplantae; Streptophyta; Magnoliopsida; Malpighiales; Euphorbiaceae
Source: RNAcentral
GUUUAAAAGUAGUCAACCAGCUUCUAAGAAAAAAGGAUUUUAGUCAGUUUCAUAAACAAAGCAUAGAAAUUGAGUUAAGUUGACUUAUAAAGAAAUAGAUUUGGGAUCAAGCCUUACUUUGUUAAGUUGAAUUCUAAAGAAAGCAUAGAACUCAAGACAUAGAAUCAAAUUAUAACAACGUAUGACACUCCAGCUAGCUAGGAUGAGUGAUAAGGCCCAAAUCUAAUCAUAACUUCAACUCAAUCAAGUGAAUAGCACCUGAAUCAGAGUAAAAUGCAUAGCAAUCACAUUGCUUUAUUGAUCUACCAAGGAAUCAGAAUAUAAGUUUACUCAACCUUUU